UGGGGAAUAUUGGACAAUGGGCGCAAGCCUGAUCCAGCCAUGCCGCGUGAGUGAUGAAGGCCCUAGGGUUGUAAAGCUCUUUCACCGGUGAAGAUAAUGACGGUAACCGGAGAAGAAGCCCCGGCUAACUUCGUGCCAGCAGCCGCGGUAAUACGAAGGGGGCUAGCGUUGUUCGGAUUUACUGGGCGUAAAGCGCACUUAGGCGGACUUUUAAGUCAGGGGUGAAAUCCCGGGGCUCAACCCCGGAACUGCCUUUGAUACUGGAAGUCUUGAGUAUGGUAGAGGUGAGUGGAAUUCCGAGUGUAGAGGUGAAAUUCGUAGAUAUUCGGAGGAACACCAGUGGCGAAGGCGGCUCACUGGACCAUUACUGACGCUGAGGUGCGAAAGCGGGGGGAGCAAACAGG
Molecule: ribosomal RNA, 404 nt
Filed under: Actinomycetes bacterium
Lineage: Bacteria; Bacillati; Actinomycetota; Actinomycetes
Description: Actinobacteria bacterium partial 16S ribosomal RNA
Rfam family: Bacterial small subunit ribosomal RNA
Source: RNAcentral